RNAcentral lists this transfer RNA (69 nucleotides) under Bidenichthys capensis (freetail brotula). RNAcentral's name for it is "tRNA-His". It matches the Rfam family "tRNA". Rfam says of the family: Transfer RNA (tRNA) molecules are approximately 80 nucleotides in length. Their secondary structure includes four short double-helical elements and three loops (D, anti-codon, and T loops). The record is from RNAcentral. Lineage: Eukaryota; Metazoa; Chordata; Actinopteri; Ophidiiformes; Bythitidae.
GCAAAUAUAGUAUAAUAAAAACGUUAGAUUGUGAUUCUAAAAAUAGAGGUUAAACCCCUCUUGUUCGCC